This 74-nucleotide transfer RNA is filed under the name SAR324 cluster bacterium. Its description in RNAcentral is "tRNA-Pro". It matches the Rfam family "tRNA". Rfam says of the family: Transfer RNA (tRNA) molecules are approximately 80 nucleotides in length. Their secondary structure includes four short double-helical elements and three loops (D, anti-codon, and T loops). Further hydrogen bonds mediate the characteristic L-shaped molecular structure. tRNAs have two regions of fundamental functional importance: the anti-codon, which is responsible for specific mRNA codon recognition, and the 3' end, to which the tRNAs corresponding amino acid is attached (by aminoacyl-tRNA synthetases). tRNAs cope with the degeneracy of the genetic code in two manners: having more than one tRNA (with a specific anti-codon) for a particular amino acid; and 'wobble' base-pairing, i.e. permitting non-standard base-pairing at the 3rd anti-codon position. The record is from RNAcentral. Lineage: Bacteria; Deltaproteobacteria. RNAcentral also lists the same sequence under 1 other name.
CGGGGUGUAGCGCAGCCAGGCAGCGCACCUGCUUUGGGAGCAGGGGGUCGGAGGUUCGAAUCCUCUCACCCCGA